GGUGUCUUCCGGGAAUGAGAAGAAGAGAGGUCGUGCGAUGGGAGUGCCUUUUGAAUGGGCUUCAUACAUUAACAUGUAGAGAUAAGGGAGCAUUUGGUAACGAAGGCUGAGGACUUUUCGAGAUGUUGCUGCUACUGAAUCCCAAAGGUAAAGCUCUUGUCUUGUGCUUUGUAUGUCGGAAUGGUCUCUUGCAAAUGGGUAAAAAGCACCUAACUGCAAAUCACAUAGUUUGAAAAUUACUCAACGAUAACAUUUUGCUUUCUAUGUUUUUUUACACUACAAUCACAGUGAAAAUUGCUUUGUAUUUGAAAGAUCAUGUUGUAAGUGGAAAUGUUUUCCAAGGUUUAAUGUUGUAAUAGGAAAAUGGAAAAUGGAGACCGGAUGAUAUAAUUUAUCAAAAUAAAUUUAAAAAUAGGAUACUAGUUUUGGCAUAUAACCCUAAAAUACUAUAUACUUGGGUUAAAUGCACAAAAUAACAACUAAAACUUUCAUAUAUAUAUAUANNNNNNNNNNNNNNNNNNNNNNNNNNNNNNNNNNNNNNUAUAUAUAUUUGAGUAUUAUAGCAUCCUAGUUUCCUUUCUUUGUAUUGUAUCAGUGUACUUUCAAUUUUUUUUCUAAUGUGGUUUGACUAACUAUUAACUAAGACAUUGUACUUUCAAUUUUAUCCUUAAAAGACAUUAUACUUUGAAAAAUCUACCAAAUUAUAGUAGUGAAAAUUGCUUUGUAUUUUGGAAGACAUUGCUAUAAUUGUAUAGUUUUGUCAAAAUACAAUGUUGGAAUAGGAAGAAAUGAAAGUAUAAACAAUUCAAUGAAUGUAUGUCGCUAGUUUUGCAUCUAACCCUUGUAAUUUCAAAAAGCCUAAAAUUAUUACAUGUUCAACUGUCUUACUUCUUGAAAUCUCUAAAUAAAUUGUGCUUUCAGAUAUUUUUUGAAAACAAAGGGUUCACAAUGCGUACCUGAAUCCAUCGCUGACAGAGUUCUUCGGUAGUAUUUCCGAAAAAGCCACAAAUAUCAGCCCCCACCAUUGGAAUCCCAAACAACCCGGAAUUCAAAAUACUCGGAAUGGAAUAC
RNAcentral lists this long non-coding RNA (1071 nucleotides) under Lactuca sativa (garden lettuce). RNAcentral's name for it is "long non-coding RNA (LSAT_LNC004461)". The record is from RNAcentral. Lineage: Eukaryota; Viridiplantae; Streptophyta; Magnoliopsida; Asterales; Asteraceae.